CGAAGCAACGCGAAGAACCUUACCAGGUCUUGACAUCCUCUGACAACCCUAGAGAUAGGGCUUCUCCUUCGGGAGCAGAGUGACAGGUGGUGCAUGGUUGUCGUCAGCUCGUGUCGUGAGAUGUUGGGUUAAGUCCCGCAACGAGCGCAACCCUUGAUCUUAGUUGCCAUCAUUUAGUUGGGCACUCUAAGGUGACUGCCGGUGACAAACCGGAGGAAGGUGGGGAUGACGUCAAAUCAUCAUGCCCCUUAUGACCUGGGCUACACACGUGCUACAAUGGACGGUCCAAAGAGCUGCAAGACCGCGAGGUGGAGCUAAUCUCAUAAAACCGUUCUCAGUUCGGAUUGUAGGCUGCAACUCGCCUACAUGAAACAAAUAAAAAUUGUAAUCGCGGAUCAGCAU
Molecule: ribosomal RNA, 402 nt
Filed under: Bacillus cereus
Lineage: Bacteria; Bacillati; Bacillota; Bacilli; Caryophanales; Bacillaceae
Description: bacterial SSU rRNA
Rfam family: Bacterial small subunit ribosomal RNA
Source: RNAcentral